This is a long non-coding RNA of Neofelis nebulosa (Clouded leopard), 2437 nucleotides long. RefSeq lists it as uncharacterized. The transcript has 3 exons. NCBI's taxonomy places the organism in Eukaryota, Metazoa, Chordata, Mammalia, Carnivora, Felidae. The record is from RefSeq and is a predicted model, not a curated record.
CCUUACUGUACAGGCAGCCGCUGCGGUCACGUGACCGCUCCCGCGCGGCCGUCACUACUGUACGCAGCCGGACGCGCGAACGUGCGCGCGCGCCCCCGCCUCCCGCGCGGGGCUGCAAGACGAACGAGCGGACGGUCCGCUGCGUCCCGUCACUCCCCCGCCCUUCCGCUCUCUGCCUAUCCUUUGGAGCAUGCGCGGGAGGGAGGUCCGACGCUAAAGUGCGUCGAGCGUCCAGUGCUCACGCCUACAGCGAAAAUCUGCCUGCGGAAGCGGAACUUGAUCCGUCCCGGAAGGCUUAUUGAACGGAUUCUGACCGCGUGCCGGGCGCCUUGGUGGCUGUAGAGGCUUGGAAGAGCCGUGCUUUUCCCCCAAGCGGCGACUUUCCUAGCUAUCGCUUUCAAUAAGCCUCGUGCUUGUGUUUUUUCAUUAGUGCAUGUUCAGGUUUACAAAGGUUAUCUUUGUGACGAUUUGCAACAAUUUUUGUCUGCUCAUUUAACCCGUUUGGUUAGAUGAGGCAAGUUGAGUUCGACCUGCCAAGCUCACCAUUCUAGGCUGUGGGGAAACCAAGAAUCAAGGCGCCAGCUCAAGAGCCGUUUUUCCAUCUCCAGGAAUUCCUUUAAAACUUAAGAUGAUCCCCUCAGCCCUUUCUUAAAGGCCACCAGUAACUGCGUUCACACUUUUUCAAGUGAAUAGUCUCAUCAAAGACCCAAAUGGUGUCUUUUCUUUCUUGGGGACCUUAGUCACUUGCACAGUGCCUAUAAAUAUCAGGCACCCAGUAAAUAUUUGCUGAAUGAGUCAGCUGUCUGUAGUCAGAAAUUAUCUGUAGGGUCCAAACAGCCUCCUGGAAAAUCCAGAAUGUGGCAUCUUCCAUCGCAUGUUUUUAUACUUUGCAAGUAAUCUCUGCACCCAACGUGCUGCUAGAACAUAUAACACCAAGAUCAAGAGACACGUGCUCCACCCACUGAGCCAGCCAGGCACUCCAGACAAGUCACCAUGUUGGCAGGGGUGAUUGAUCCCAAUCAUCAAGAGGAAGUUGGAAUUCUGUUACACAAUGGAAGAUGGAAGGACGAUGUUCGGCACCCAGGUGGUCAAAGGCAAAGAGACGCAGGAAGCAGGAAGGAAGGCAGAGGAACUGGAGGCCAGCCAGAAACAAGCUGGGAAUAGCCAGACUGCACUGCUCCUUAGUUACCAUGGGCUUUGUCCAGCCAGAUGUCCUAGCAUCUCCUUGGUUUUCUGCCUGAGGAAUCUGACUAUUCAUUCUGAAGUUAUCUUAAAUGCUGUCCACAUUCACAAAUACUCCUCAGAGGCCAAAUUCAUUUUUAAAUGUUCAUCCUAGCAAGAGAUUUUUUUUUACAUAGAUGGGGAUACAGCCUGGACCUAAAUAGAUUUAGGUUCAAGUCUCAUCAUUGUAAUUUACUACCUAAGUGAACUUAAGCAAUUGACUAGGAUUCUCUAAUCUUCAGCUUCCUCAUCUGCCCCAAAAUCGAGAUAAUUUACUCAAUAAAUAUUCACGUUUGAGUCCCUAUUAUGUGACAUGCUCAGAUUUGGAUGUUGGGAAUACAGAAGAAAACCACACAGGGUGGCUUCAUUCAAGUGAAGACGGAAGAGAAAUAAAUAGACAAGACAGUAUCGGAUGUUGAUAAAUGUUCGGAAGACAAUCCACCAAGUUGAUGUGCAAGAAGUGAUGGAGUCGCAGCAUCUUUGGAGGAGGAAGAAUUUGACAUUGGAGCCGAGACUGAAGACAAAAAGACAAGAAGAAACUCGCCUCGUGAAGAUUUGGGUGUGGAGCAUUCCAAUGAGAGGGAAAGAGAAUUUCAAAGGCCCUGAGGCGGAAGAAAGCGCUUGGUGUGUCCUUGGAAUAUAAAGAAGAUAUACAAUGGAGUGAGGUGGAGAGGGGCUGGGGAGAGGUGGGAGAGGUAGGCAGGACUGAGGAAGUGGAGGAGGAUGUAAGAGCUUUGAGAAGAGCCGGGGAAUGUGUGAAAUACUUGUUUGGGAGAAUGGGGGAGAGAACAUACUGGAGAAGUGUAGUAGGGUUGCUUGGCAGCAUUGAGACUCCUUUUGAGAUGCGUGGUCAUGAAUUUCAACUAGAACUAGUUGGCAUAGUGGAUGUUGCGCUGAGAAUUAGAUGAAGUGAAUGGAAGUUUUUGACACAUGGUAGAUGCUCAGAAAUGUUCACUAGCUAUUAUAAGGGAGAAAAAUCUUAAGAUGAAGAAAACUAAACCAACUCAUCUAUUUUUGCCACGAUCUGUAAUUUAUCAGAGAGGUAAACGAUAUGCUAUGUAUUCUGAGCUUUGGUUUAAGACUAAGUUUUCCACAAAAAGGGAGUUUUUUAGCAUCUGGAUGUUUUAAACCUGAACGUUUUUGCACACCCAGCACAAAAUGCCGCGAUUUUUUGCUCUUGUGGUCUUAAUAAACUGGAAGUAAAUUUCUCCUGUCA